Molecule: ribosomal RNA, 106 nt
Filed under: Spiroplasma endosymbiont of Danaus chrysippus
Lineage: Bacteria; Bacillati; Mycoplasmatota; Mollicutes; Entomoplasmatales; Spiroplasmataceae
Rfam family: Bacterial small subunit ribosomal RNA
Source: RNAcentral
AUUUUAUUGAGAGUUUGAUCCUGGCUCAGGAUUAACGCUGGCGGCAUGCCUAAUACAUGCAAGUCGAACGAAAGUAGCAAUACUUUAGUGGCGAACGGGUGAGUAA